Molecule: non-coding RNA, 98 nt
Organism: Acanthosepion pharaonis
Lineage: Eukaryota; Metazoa; Mollusca; Cephalopoda; Sepiida; Sepiidae
Source: the annotation of a GenBank genome assembly
AUUGUAACAUUGGUUCUCAUCCGAUAACCGAAGUUAAGCAACUGUGUUCUGGGUCAGUAUUUAGAUGGGCGGCCACUUGAGAAUACCAGGUAAUGCCG